CCUACGGGGCGCUGCAGUGGGGAAUAUUGGACAAUGGGCGAAAGCCUGAUCCAGCCAUGCCGCGUGUGUGAAGAAGGCCUUCGGGUUGUAAAGCACUUUCAGUGGGGAAGAAAGCCUUGGGGCUAAUACCCUCGAGGAAGGACAUCACCCACAGAAGAAGCACCGGCUAACUCCGUGCCAGCAGCCGCGGUAAUACGGAGGGUGCGAGCGUUAAUCGGAAUUACUGGGCGUAAAGCGCGCGUAGGCGGUCUGAUAAGCCGGUUGUGAAAGCCCCGGGCUCAACCUGGGAACGGCAUCCGGAACUGUCAGGCUAGAGUGCAGGAGAGGAAGGUAGAAUUCCCGGUGUAGCGGUGAAAUGCGUAGAGAUCGGGAGGAAUACCAGUGGCGAAGGCGGCCUUCUGGACUGACACUGACGCUGAGGUGCGAAGGCGUGGGUAGCAAACAGGAUUAGAUACCCCGGUAGUC
Molecule: ribosomal RNA, 465 nt
Filed under: Vreelandella stevensii
Lineage: Bacteria; Pseudomonadati; Pseudomonadota; Gammaproteobacteria; Oceanospirillales; Halomonadaceae
Description: partial 16S ribosomal RNA
Rfam family: Bacterial small subunit ribosomal RNA
Source: RNAcentral